AGAGAUUGGAGAGACCCAGAGAAGAGACUACUUUUGUACUAGUAACGCUAUACGAGUUACUACCACUUAAACCUUGAAAAAUCGGAUAUGGCGAUAUGGUGACUAUCGAUCUACAAAGACUUCAUCUUCUCCACCAUGCAAACCAUUUGCAACGACUCCAUAAAAACUUCAAUAUUUGCUGCCAUUUCUCUUCCUCCAACUCUUCCACUAAAUCCUUGUAUCUUAGGAUGGGGUUCUGUAGCCCCAUUCCCCCCUCUUUAUCCCUUAUACUUUCUUCUUCUACCCCUUCUAUGGUUCCCUGGCUUCGCGCUCCUUCACUAAUUCGCUAUUCCCCGUCAAAUUUUAAGAUAAGGUUGAGAUUGACAAGCUGUGGAGAGCUUCUUAAAGUCAAGUUUGAAAAGCAGGGACUUCGGGAAGGUUUAUUGUUGGAAUACAAAAAAGAUUCUGAAAGGGUAUUGCUAGCAGUUGCUCAAAAACCUGAUGGAAAGAAAAAUUGGAUCGUAUCUGAUCAGAAUGGCACGACAUGCUCGAUAAAACCACAACAGAUAACUUAUGUUGUUCCUGGUGUUGAGAAUUUUGACUAUACCCAAAUUCCAGAUUUUUUGCAAAGAGCAGAUGAUAACUUGGAUCCAUCUCUCCUUGAGCUUGCCUGGGUGGAGCUGCUUGAAAAAAAUAAAUCAUUGACUCCUGAGGAGCUGGCAGAGAUCAUUUAUGGUACUGCUGAACCUCUAGAGAGCUAUUGUGCACAUCUCUUGCUCUCAAAAGAUGAGAUAUACUUUUCUACGGUGGAGAGUAAAGGUUAUUUUACUGUUUACACUCCUCGGCCUACUGAUCAGGUUGAGGAACUUUUGAAGAGAAAACUUGUCAAGGAGGCUGCUGAAAAGGAAUUACAGGAGUUCGUACAGCUAUUAUAUAAUGCUAAAUCAAGACCUAUUGAUUCAAAGCCGCCUAGAUCCUCAUGGACUAUGGAAGAUAGAAUCCGUGAUCGUAUUGAGUCUCUUGUUGCUUAUACGGUUGCUGCACAUUGCAGUGAUAGUCAAAAGAGAACUGCUGAGACGAUUCUCGCAGCCAUGGGUUUGGCGAAAACAGCAACGUCAGCAUCAAAUCUCCUCAUAGAUAUUGGUUAUUUUCCAGUGCAUAUUAAUCUUGAUCUGUUAAAGCUGAACAUUCGCACCAAUCACUCAGAAGAUACUGUAGCAGCUGCGGAAAAAUUGUUGUCAGAGUCUUGUGAUAUUGAUCAGAUUUGUAGGAAGGACCUUACGCACAUGAAGGUCUAUGCUAUUGAUGUUGAUGAAGCGGAUGAGCUUGAUGAUGCACUUAGCGCGUCAAGGUUGCAAGAUGGCCGGUUAAAAGUUUGGAUACAUGUGGCAGAUCCAACCUGCUUACUGCAACCUGGAACCAUUCUGGACAAAGAGGCCAUGAGCAGAGGAACUACAAUCUUUCUCCCCACAGCAACUUAUCCUAUGUUCCCAGAGAAGCUUGCUAUGGAAAGAAUGAGCUUAAAACAAGGAGAAAACUGCAAUGCUGUGACAGUAUCUGUUUUGCUGCAUUCUGAUGGCAGCAUUGCUGAGUAUUCUGUUGAAAAUACCAUAAUCAGACCUACCUACAUGCUCACUUAUAAAAGUGCAUCAGAGCUCCUUCAUUUGAAUCUUGAAGAAGAGGCCGAGUUAAAGAUUCUGUUUGAGGCCGCAGCUUUACGUUUGCAAUGGCGCAAACAGCAGGGUGCUGUUGACACCACAACAUUAGAAGCACGUGUCAAAGUGGCAAAUCCCGAUGCUCUAGAACCACAGAUCAAUCUUUAUGUGGAGAAUCAAGCUGACCCUGCGAUGCGCCUUGUUUCCGAGAUGAUGAUUCUUUGUGGAGAGGCUAUUGCUACAUAUGGCUCUUGCAACAACAUUCCUUUACCAUAUAGAGGACAAUCUCAACCAAACGUAGAUGCUUCUGCAUUUUCUCAUCUUCCAGAAGGACCUGUCCGGAGUGCAGCUUUAGUUAAAAUUAUGCGUGCAGCCGAAUAUGAUUUUAGGAAGCCAAUACAUCAUGCUGGUUUGGGAGUUCCUGGUUAUGUUCAGUUCACUUCUCCUAUACGUAGAUACAUGGAUUUACUUGCUCAUUAUCAGGUCAAGUAUUUUAUUAGGGGUGACAACCUCCCUUAUUCGGCAGCUCAGCUAGAAGGGAUAGCUUCAAUAGUUAAUAUGCAACAUAGAGCUGCAAGAAAGUUGUACAGUAACAGUCUCCGGUAUUGGGUAUUAGAAUAUUUGAGAAGGCAGCCAAAGGAAAGAAAGUUACGUGCACUGAUACUCAGGUUUAUUAAAGAUCGCAUUGCAGCAUUGCUUCUGGUUGAGGUCGGGCUGCAAGCUUCAGCAUGGGUAGUAAAGGGUUCCCAAAUCGGAGAUGAAAUUGAAGUCCAGGUAGAGGAAGCACACCCAAGAGACGAUACUUUGUCCCUUAAGCAAGUUGCUGAAUAACGUGGAUCUCAAUUCUCAAGCGCUCAUGUAAUCACCUGAAAGAGAAGAGCUCGUUUCUCAUUCUACUCGGCAAAAUGUGAUGUGCUAGAGAUGAUGACUUUCUUUAGUUAGCAGAUCCUCUGUUAGCUCAUGAUGAUUGUAUUUGGUUAAUCAUCAGCGGCAUCAUUGCCAAAGAAGAUGAGCACUGGUGACUAUUGAUAUGAAUUUGGGUAAUCGGCUUGCUGUAAAUGUCAAGGCUAAAGGAUUUCACAUGAAAAGGCUUACUUAUGGAGGAAUGGAUCCAUUCGCAUCACACAUUCACAGUGAUUUACGAGUUACAACUAUCUUUCGGAGUUUAAUAAUAAGUGAUCCAUGAUUACUGAUUUUGGAGAUGCGCAAGACUUCAUUUAUUUCUGCGGCAACCUUUUGAGAACGACAAAGAACAUUGAAGAAGGUGACACCGGCUACACUUCUAAUUCGAACUUCGAAAAUGUAAGGUCAGGCCAGCUAUACUUGUACAUUGUGUUUCAUAUAGAUCCUUGCCUUUUAGGACACUAGCUGAACAUUUCUAGCUGCUAAGAUUAAGAAUGCUAUUUGUUCGAUCCCGUUGAAUUACAUCCCCUUAUAUUGAUGAAUAUGGGUGUACCUUGUACAGUGCUGCUUGAGACUGUUGCUGCCUGCGGGCGAACAUUGCUAAGGCUACUACAAUUUGAUACACUAAACUCUUCGAUGUUGUGAUCAUCGCACUAAUGCCUAAGAAGAAAGUCUUAAAAGGAUUCAACUUUUAACGUCUUAUAAAAAUAUAUACAUUACUCUUUUAGUUAAAACCGCCAUGAAGAAAAUACCAUGUAAUUCUUUUUAGCAAAAAUUGAUAAUUGUUUCUUUAUAACCAUUCAUUUUUGUGAUUUAUUGAUUGUCAAAUAAAGACAUAAAACAUUCGAUUUUAAAAUGUCACCUAAGGUCUCAUACCAACUCUUAGAUGAGGGCAAAGUUUCUCUUUUAAUUUUUAGACAUAAAACAUUAAUUUUUUCUUACAUGCCAAAUAAGGUCCUAAAACAUUGUAGUUUAUCUUUAUUAUUAUUGGAUGUGGACUGUUUUCUUGAGGCAAGAGAGGGAGAGAAAUUUGUAUUCUUUUCGGUGGUGAGAAAUUGAUAAUCAAACUCCUAUUACACAGGUGAUAGUGAAAAUCUUCAACAACUUUGAUAACCCAUGAAUUAUUGAAUAGAGUAAACUACGCGAUAAGUGAAAAUUCACUCAAGACCGGGUCGGGUUCUGCAAGACUCCGAUCUAGAUCCUAACUUUUUUAUUGGACUUAGGCCCGGACCCGAAUCAGUAGGGUUUAAAAAUUUUAGACCCGGACCUAGACCCUUAGAGUCUAGAUUUGGGUCCAAAACAAUUUUUUUUUUCAGGAAAUUUUUUUUAAAAUAUAUUACAAUUUUCG
Amaranthus tricolor (Joseph's coat) is the source of this 3885-nucleotide RNA transcript. It is a transcript of the gene named ribonuclease II, chloroplastic/mitochondrial-like, with no coding region annotated. The transcript has 15 exons. Lineage: Eukaryota; Viridiplantae; Streptophyta; Magnoliopsida; Caryophyllales; Amaranthaceae. The record is from RefSeq and is a predicted model, not a curated record.